GGACUACACGGGUAUCUAAUCCUGUUCGCUCCCCACGCUUUCGUACCUCAGUGUCAGGAGUGGCCCAGCAAGCUGCCUUCGCCAUUGGUGUUCUUAGCAAUAUCUACGCAUUUCACUGCUACACUGCUAGUUCCACUUGCCUCUGCCGUCCUCUAGCAUGCCAGUAUGUGAUGCAACGACAGGGUUGAGCCCCACGAUUUAACAUCACACUUAACACGCCACCUACGCACGCUUUACGCCCAGUGAUUCCGGAUAACGCUUGCACCCUACGUAUUACCGCGGCGGCUGGCAC
RNAcentral lists this ribosomal RNA (292 nucleotides) under uncultured bacterium. RNAcentral describes it as "partial 16S ribosomal RNA". The record is from RNAcentral.